UUCUCGCGUGUGAGAUCUCACUUCUCAUGUGCGAUUCACGAGGAGGCGAUGUAUUAAUAUUCAACAGCUUCCCCUUAAUCCAUUUUUAAAACGACAUUGUCGAUCAUCGUAUCGUCUGCGGCGGCGCUGUUCCUCGAUUCAACCAUCUCCGAAUUCAGGUAUCUACUAGCUUCACAUCUUGAUGCACUGUUGGGUGUUAAAGAGUCAUUCAAAGCCAAUAUGUGUUGGUUAUCAUCAAACAAAACAUGUGGCUCAAAGUAGACUUUCUCGGUUUCACCAUUACUAUCCCUCUCCAAUGAAGAUUGAAGAAUCAAGAAUCAAUUAGCUACCAGCAGACCCAAGAGGUAAGAGAGACGAAAUGAAGACCCAAGAGUUAAGAGAGAUGAAAUGAAGAAGUUAAGAGACAUGGAAUGAAGAGAUCGAUGGUGAAAUGAAGAAAUCGCAAAAUGGGAGAGUGAAAAUAUGGUUUGGGGCUUGUUGGAAUGAAAAUUUAGGGAAAAUUGAUGAAAAAAAAUGGAUUUUAGUAAAUAAAAGAGGGGUAAUGGUUGACCCGGUUUUUUCCAAAAAUCGGUUGGACUGGCGGGUUGCUAUAGUACCCACGGUCCAACCACGGGUUAUUUUAGGUGAAAUCACCUUUCCGAGUUUUAUGUCAGCCCGACCCGACUUAGAAGUCGUUUCCCGGUUGAAACGGUCGAGUCGGGCUGGGUCCUAG
This is a long non-coding RNA of Pistacia vera, 712 nucleotides long. RefSeq lists it as uncharacterized. The transcript has 3 exons. The record is from RefSeq and is a predicted model, not a curated record. Lineage: Eukaryota; Viridiplantae; Streptophyta; Magnoliopsida; Sapindales; Anacardiaceae.